GGUGAAAAGCACCCCGGAAGGGGAGUGAAAUAGAACCUGAAACCGUGUGCUUACAAGUAGUCAGAGCCCGUUAAUGGGUGAUGGCGUGCCUUUUGUAGAAUGAACCGGCGAGUUACGAUUUGAUGCAAGGUUAAGCAGUAAAUGUGGAGCCGUAGCGAAAGCGAGUCUGAAUAGGGCGUUUAGUAUUUGGUCGUAGACCCGAAACCAGGUGAUCUACCCUUGGUCAGGUUGAAGUUCAGGUAACACUGAAUGGAGGACCGAACCGACUUACGUUGAAAAGUGAGCGGAUGAACUGAGGGUAGCGGAGAAAUUCCAAUCGAACCUGGAGAUAGCUGGUUCUCUCCGAAAUAGCUUUAGGGCUAGCCUCAAGUGAUGAUUAUUGGAGGUAGAGCACUGUUUGGACGAGGGGCCCCUCUCGGGUUACCGAAUUCAGACAAACUCCGAAUGCCAAUUAAUUUAACUUGGGAGUCAGAACAUGGGUGAUAAGGUCCGUGUUCGAAAGGGAAACAGCCCAGACCACCAGCUAAGGUCCCAAAAUAUAUGUUAAGUGGAAAAGGAUGUGGCGUUGCCCAGACAACUAGGAUGUUGGCUUAGAAGCAGCCAUCAUUUAAAGAGUGCGUAAUAGCUCACUAGUCGAGUGACACUGCGCCGAAAAUGUACCGGGGCUAAACAUAUUACCGAAGCUGUGGAUUGUCCUUUGGACAAUGGUAGGAGAGCGUUCUAAGGGCGUUGAAGCAUGAUCGUAAGGACAUGUGGAGCGCUUAGAAGUGAGAAUGCCGGUGUGAGUAGCGAAAGACGGGUGAGAAUCCCGUCCACCGAUUGACUAAGGUUUCCAGAGGAAGGCUCGUCCGCUCUGGGUUAGUCGGGUCCUAAGCUGAGGCCGACAGGCGUAGGCGAUGGAUAACAGGUUGAUAUUCCUGUACCACCUAUAAUCGUUUUAAUCGAUGGGGGGACGCAGUAGGAUAGGCGAAGCGUGCGAUUGGAUUGCACGUCUAAGCAGUAAGGCUGAGUAUUAGGCAAAUCCGGUACUCAUUAAGGCUGAGCUGUGAUGGGGAGAAGACAUUGUGUCUUCGAGUCGUUGAUUUCACACUGCCGAGAAAAGCCUCUAGAUAGAAAAUAGGUGCCCGUACCGCAAACCGACACAGGUAGUCAAGAUGAGAAUUCUAAGGUGAGCGAGCGAACUCUCGUUAAGGAACUCGGCAAAAUGACCCCGUAACUUCGGGAGAAGGGGUGCUCUUUAGGGUUAACGCCCAGAAGA
Molecule: ribosomal RNA, 1258 nt
Filed under: Staphylococcus aureus
Lineage: Bacteria; Bacillati; Bacillota; Bacilli; Caryophanales; Staphylococcaceae
Description: partial 23S ribosomal RNA
Rfam family: Bacterial large subunit ribosomal RNA
Source: RNAcentral